Molecule: ribosomal RNA, 427 nt
Filed under: uncultured bacterium
Lineage: Bacteria
Description: bacterial SSU rRNA
Rfam family: Bacterial small subunit ribosomal RNA
Source: RNAcentral
GAUGAACGCUGGCGGCGUGCUUAACACAUGCAAGUCGAACGGAGAUGCCUUUAACGGAGAUUUCGGUCAAAGUUGUUGGUAUCUUAGUGGCGGACGGGUGAGUAACGCGUGGGUAACCUGCCUUAUACUGGGGGAUAACAGUCAGAAAUGACUGCUAAUACCGCAUAAGCGCACAGUGCCGCAUGGCACAGUGUGAAAAAUUCCGGUGGUAUAAGAUGGACCCGCGUUGGAUUAGCUUGUUGGUGAGGUAACGGCUCACCAAGGCGACGAUCCAUAGCCGGCCUGAGAGGGUGAACGGGCCACAUUGGGACUGAGACACGGGCCCAGACUCCUACGGGAGGCAGCAGUGGGGAAUAUUGCACAAUGGGGGAAACCCUGAUGCAGCGACGCCGCGUGAAGGAUGAAGUAUUUCGGGUAUGUAAACUUC